RNAcentral lists this ribosomal RNA (366 nucleotides) under Triticum aestivum (bread wheat). RNAcentral's name for it is "partial small subunit ribosomal RNA". The record is from RNAcentral. Lineage: Eukaryota; Viridiplantae; Streptophyta; Magnoliopsida; Poales; Poaceae.
GGAAGAAUUGAACUGGUUAGAACCACCCUCUACACAAUGGCAAUUUAUCGGAUAAUGGCGAUUGCGCCGCCAAAGUGGUUCAUCAAGAUGGUGGAUAGGCUGCGUAGAGGCUUCCUUUGGGCAGCGGACGAGGUAUCGCCGGCUGGUAAAUGCUUAGCAAGAUGGAGCAAUGUUUGUCGGCCUCGGGAGCUCGGAGGGCUGGGCAUCAAUGACCUGCAGAGACAGGGAAGCACCUUACAGGCCCGCUGGUGUUGGCUCACAUGGACUGAUAGAGACCAGCCUUGGGGUAAUCUGAUCCUGCCGAGCGACCCCGACGCGGAGGCUAUAUUCCGUGCCUCGUCAACGAUCUGCAUCGGCGAUGGGUGA